RNAcentral lists this transfer RNA (67 nucleotides) under Caudoviricetes sp. RNAcentral describes it as "tRNA-Met". It matches the Rfam family "tRNA". From Rfam's summary of the family: Transfer RNA (tRNA) molecules are approximately 80 nucleotides in length. Their secondary structure includes four short double-helical elements and three loops (D, anti-codon, and T loops). Further hydrogen bonds mediate the characteristic L-shaped molecular structure. tRNAs have two regions of fundamental functional importance: the anti-codon, which is responsible for specific mRNA codon recognition, and the 3' end, to which the tRNAs corresponding amino acid is attached (by aminoacyl-tRNA synthetases). tRNAs cope with the degeneracy of the genetic code in two manners: having more than one tRNA (with a specific anti-codon) for a particular amino acid; and 'wobble' base-pairing, i.e. permitting non-standard base-pairing at the 3rd anti-codon position. Lineage: Duplodnaviria; Heunggongvirae; Uroviricota; Caudoviricetes. The record is from RNAcentral.
CUCAUAGCCAACUGGGUACACCUGACUCAUAAUCAGGGAGUCCUUGGUUCAAGCCCAAGUGGGACCA